RNAcentral lists this ribosomal RNA (460 nucleotides) under uncultured bacterium. RNAcentral's name for it is "partial 16S ribosomal RNA". It matches the Rfam family "Bacterial small subunit ribosomal RNA", at positions 338 to 795 of the family's 1533-position model. The record is from RNAcentral.
CCUACGGGAGGCAGCAGUGAGGAAUAUUGGUCAAUGGACGAGAGUCUGAACCAGCCCAGUAGCGUGAAGGAUGACUGCCCUAUGGGUUGUAAACUUCUUUUAUAUGGGAAUAAAAUGUUCCACGUGUGGGAUUUUGUAUGUACCAUAUGAAUAAGGAUCGGCUCACUCCGUGCCCGCAGCCGCGGUAAUACGGAGGAUCCGAGCGUUACCCGGAUUUAUUGGGUUUAAAGGGAGCGUAGGUGGAUUGUUAAGUCAGUUGUGAAAGUUUGCGGCGCAACCGUAAAAUUGCAGUUGACACUGGCAGUCUGGAGUACAGUAGAGGUGGGCGGAAUUCGUGGUGUAGCGGUGAAAUGCUUAGAUAUCACGAAGAACUCCGAUUGCGAAGGCAGCUCACGGGACUGCAACUGACACUGAGGCUCGAAAGUGUGGGUAUCAAACAGGAUUAGAUACCCGGGUAGUC